This 289-nucleotide long non-coding RNA is filed under the name Pan troglodytes (chimpanzee). RNAcentral's name for it is "long non-coding RNA NONPTRT005248". The record is from RNAcentral. Lineage: Eukaryota; Metazoa; Chordata; Mammalia; Primates; Hominidae.
CCAAGCUGGUCCUGAACCGCUAGCCUCAAAUAAUCCUCCUGCCUGAACCUACCAAAGCAUUGGUAUUACAAGUUUGACCCACCGUGAUCAGUCCAGAGUAGGAAAUGGAAUCUUAACAACUAUCACAUGAGCUUUGAGGGUAUCCUUCUCCAGAUGAGCCUUCAGUUGAGACCUCAGCCUUGGACGUCAUCUGAAUCUGGAUUCCUGACCCAGAGCAACUGAAUUUUAUGGAACCUUGUAUUCUGUUGAAUACCAGAAUUAUAUCAGCAAUCCCAAAGUCACCAAAUGG